AGAGUUUGAUCCUGGCUCAGAACGAACGCUGGCGGCGCGUUUUAAGCAUGCAAGUCGAACGGUAGUACCGUCUUCGGAUGGUAUGAGAGUGGCGAACGGGUGAGUAACACGUGAAUGAUCUGCCUCCGGGCUUGGGAUAGCCUAUGGAAACAUAGGGUAAUACCGAAUGAUUUCUUGAGGGUAGAGCCUUGAGAUGAAAGGGGCAACUGCCCCGCCUGGAGAGGAGUUUGCGGUCCAUUAGCUUGUUGGUGGGGUAAUGGCCUACCAAGGCGACGAUGGAUAGCCGGCCUGAGAGGGUGACCGGCCACACUGGGACUGAGACACGGCCCAGACUCCUACGGGAGGCAGCAGCUAAGAAUCUUCCGCAAUGGGCGAAAGCCUGACGGAGCGACGCCGCGUGGACGAUGAAGGCCGUGAGGUUGUAAAGUCCUUUUCUUCGUGAGGAAUAAUGUGGGGAGUGGAAUGCCUCGCAGAUGACGUUAGCGAAGGAAUAAGCACCGGCUAAUUACGUGCCAGCAGCCGCGGUAAUACGUAAGGUGCAAGCGUUGUUCGGAAUUAUUGGGCGUAAAGGGCGUGUAGGCGGCAUACUAAGCCUGGUUUGAAAGGUCUCGGCUCAACUGAGAUAGUGGGUCAGGAACUGGUACGCUAGAGUUCAUGGGGGGAAGCUGGAAUUCCUGGUGUAGGGGUGAAAUCUGUAGAUAUCAGGAAGAACACCGGUAGCGAAGGCGAGCUUCUAUGAAUGGACUGACGCUGAGGCGCGAAAGCGUGGGGAGCGAACAGGAUUAGAUACCCUGGUAGUCCACGCUGUAAACGAUGCGCACUAGGUAUGGGUCACAUUGGUGAUCUGUGCCGUAGCGAACGCGAUAAGUGCACCGCCUGGGGAGUAUGCUCGCAAGGGUGAAACUCAAAGGAAUUGACGGGGCCCCGCACAAGCGGUGGAGCAUGUGGUUUAAUUCGAAACGCGAGGAACCUUACCAGGGUUUGACAUGUACGUGGAUGCUCCAGAGAUGGGGCAGUCCGGUUAUCCGGACGCGUACACAGGUGCUGCAUGGCUGUCGUCAGCUCGUGUCGUGAGAUGUUGGGUUAAGUCCCGCAACGAGCGCAACCCCUACCGUCUGUUGCCAUCAGGUGAAGCUGGGCACUCUGGCGGAACUGCCGGUGACAAACCGGAGGAAGGUGGGGACGACGUUAAGUCAUCAUGGCCCUUAUGUCCUGGGCUACACACGUGCUACAAUGGUCCGUACAACGCGAAGCGAAACGGCGACGUGGAGCAAAUCGCUAAAAGCGGGUCACAGUUCGGAUUGGAGUCUGAAACCCGACUCCAUGAAGGUGGAAUCGCUAGUAAUCGCGCAUCAUCAUGGCGCGGUGAAUACGUUCCCGGGGCUUGUACACACCGCCCGUCACACCACCCGAGUUGGGGGUACCCGAAGUCGCGAGUCUAACCGCAAGGGGGACCGUGCCGAAGGUAUGCCUGGUAAGGGGGGUGAAGUCGGAACAAGGUA
RNAcentral lists this ribosomal RNA (1502 nucleotides) under metagenome. RNAcentral's name for it is "bacterial SSU rRNA". It matches the Rfam family "Bacterial small subunit ribosomal RNA". The record is from RNAcentral.